This 576-nucleotide ribosomal RNA is filed under the name uncultured bacterium. Its description in RNAcentral is "bacterial SSU rRNA". It matches the Rfam family "Bacterial small subunit ribosomal RNA", at positions 263 to 853 of the family's 1533-position model. The record is from RNAcentral.
GCUCACCAAGGCGACGACGGGUAGCUGGUCUGAGAGGACGAUCAGCCACACUGGGACUGAGACACGGCCCAGACUCCUACGGGAGGCAGCAGUGGGGAAUCUUGCGCAAUGGGCGAAAGCCUGACGCAGCAACGCCGCGUGGGGGAUGAAGGCCUUCGGGUUGUAAACCCCUUUCAGUGGGAACGAAAUUGACGGUACCCACAGAAGAAGCCCCGGCCAACUACGUGCCAGCAGCCGCGGUGAUACGUAGGGGGCGAGCGUUGUCCGGAUUCAUUGGGCGUAAAGAGCUCGUAGGCGGCUUGGUAAGUCGGGUGUGAAACCUCCAGGCUCAACCUGGAGACGCCACUCGAUACUGCCCUGGCUAGAGUCCGGUAGGGGAUCACGGAAUUCCUGGUGUAGCGGUGAAAUGCGCAGAUAUCAGGAGGAACACCAGUGGCGAAGGCGGUGAUCUGGGCCGGUACUGACGCUGAGGAGCGAAAGCGUGGGGAGCGAACAGGAUUAGAUACCCUGGUAGUCCACGCCGUAAACGUUGGGCACUAGGUGUGGGGCCUUAUCGACGGGUUCCGUGCCGCAGCU